CCACGCCCGUACCCUGGCGUGACGCUCAGGGGUGGCAGGACCCGCUCCCCCAGCCCAGCUGCUGGCCUAUGAGAGUAGGGAGUUUGAUGACAUCCUCCAGUGGGACUUCACUGAGGACUUCUUCAACCUGACGCUCAAGGAGCUGCACCUGCAGCGCUGGGUGGUGGCUGCCUGCCCCCAGGCCCAUUUCAUGCUAAAGGGAGAUGACGAUGUCUUUGUCCACGUCCCCAACGUGUUAGAGUUCCUGGAUGGCUGGGACCCGGCCCAGGACCUCCUGGUGGGAGAUGUCAUCCGCCAAGCCCUGCCCAACAGGAACACUAAGGUCAAAUACUUCAUCCCACCCUCAAUGUACAAAGCCACCCACUACCCACCCUAUGCUGGUGGGGGAGGAUAUGUCAUGUCCCGAGCCACAGUGCGGCGCCUCCAGGCUAUCAUGGAAGAGGCUGA
This 447-nucleotide small RNA is filed under the name Pan troglodytes (chimpanzee). RNAcentral describes it as "processed transcript". Lineage: Eukaryota; Metazoa; Chordata; Mammalia; Primates; Hominidae. The record is from RNAcentral.